RNAcentral lists this non-coding RNA (25 nucleotides) under Rattus norvegicus (Norway rat). The record is from RNAcentral. Lineage: Eukaryota; Metazoa; Chordata; Mammalia; Rodentia; Muridae.
CUAGGUGUUUAUGACGUUUACUUGU